AACUCUCAACCUCCAACUUUCUUAAUAGUAGUUGGCGGCUUGGACUUGAGCGCUGCUGGUCAUCGGCUCGCUCGAAAUUCAUUAGCAGACCCUUUUCGUAAUCGGUUCCACUCGACGUGAUAAGUAUUUCGUCGAGGACAGUCCUUAACUGGGCUGGCCGGGAUAAGGAAGGUAUAGUUGUCAGCUUCUAAUUCGUCGUCUAGCUCUCGAGCGAAACACACUUUUAUG
This 228-nucleotide unclassified non-coding RNA is filed under the name uncultured Tausonia. RNAcentral's name for it is "sequence contains ITS2". The record is from RNAcentral. Lineage: Eukaryota; Fungi; Basidiomycota; Tremellomycetes; Cystofilobasidiales; Mrakiaceae.